CUUGAAUUGGAGAGGAAGAGGUUGCAAUCCCGUAAUACUGGACAGUGAGGAUUCCUUUUUGUUGGGCUGAGGUAUUCUUUGGAUCGGUGUCCUGCUGAGGAAACAAAUACCAAAGGCUUUAGCAAAAUGGCCAUACAAGUAGCAUCCUACUUGAGCAAAGAUGUAUUGUAUCUCUACAUCUGUUAGAGAUUUUGACUUGGGAAAAUUUUAGUGACGGGAGUUGCUCUAUCCCUCACCCCCGUCCCCAAAGAAAAUACAAGUUUUUUUUUUCAUUUGCCUGUAACAGUGAGGUAAUUUAAUGUGCCAUAUUAAGAUUACAAGAUUGUUAACUUAAGGAAAUGGUGUCUUCAAGUAGAAACACAGCUUUGGGGGUGAGGAUGUGAUGAAGUUAUUUUUAUCUAAUCAAAAUUUGUUUUCUUUGAUUU
This 425-nucleotide long non-coding RNA is filed under the name Solanum tuberosum (potato). RNAcentral describes it as "long non-coding RNA (STUB_LNC004620)". The record is from RNAcentral. Lineage: Eukaryota; Viridiplantae; Streptophyta; Magnoliopsida; Solanales; Solanaceae.